GGAUGAACGCUGGCGGCGUGCCUAAUACAUGCAAGUCGAGCGAACAGACGAGGAGCUUGCUCCUCUGACGUUAGCGGCGGACGGGUGAGUAACACGUGUAUAACCUACCUAUAAGACUGGGAUAACUUCGGGAAACCGGAGCUAAUACCGGAUAAUAUAUUGAACCGCAUGGUUCAAUAGUGAAAGACGGUUUUGCUGUCACUUAUAGAUGGAUCCGCGCCGCAUUAGCUAGUUGGUAAGGUAACGGCUUACCAAGGCAACGAUGCGUAGCCGACCUGAGAGGGUGAUCGGCCACACUGGAACUGAGACACGGUCCAGACUCCUACGGGAGGCAGCAGUAGGGAAUCUUCCGCAAUGGGCGAAAGCCUGACGGAGCAACGCCGCGUGAGUGAUGAAGGUCUUCGGAUCGUAAAACUCUGUUAUUAGGGAAGAACAAAUGUGUAAGUAACUAUGCACGUCUUGACGGUACCUAAUCAGAAAGCCACGGCUAACUACGUG
This 498-nucleotide ribosomal RNA is filed under the name uncultured bacterium. RNAcentral's name for it is "partial 16S ribosomal RNA". It matches the Rfam family "Bacterial small subunit ribosomal RNA", at positions 27 to 507 of the family's 1533-position model. The record is from RNAcentral.